RNAcentral lists this ribosomal RNA (178 nucleotides) under Lysionotus chingii. RNAcentral describes it as "5.8S ribosomal RNA". The stretch from base 7 to 162 matches the Rfam family "5.8S ribosomal RNA". Rfam says of the family: 5.8S ribosomal RNA (5.8S rRNA) is a component of the large subunit of the eukaryotic ribosome. Lineage: Eukaryota; Viridiplantae; Streptophyta; Magnoliopsida; Lamiales; Gesneriaceae. The record is from RNAcentral.
UAUAACGACUCUCGGCAACGGAUAUCUCGGCUCUCGCAUCGAUGAAGAACGUAGCGAAAUGCGAUACUUGGUGUGAAUUGCAGAAUCCCGUGAACCAUCGAGUCUUUGAACGCAAGUUGCGCCCGAAGCCAUCUGGCCGAGGGCACGUCUGCCUGGGCGUCACGCGUCUCUUCGCCCC